This 584-nucleotide long non-coding RNA is filed under the name Marmota monax (woodchuck). Lineage: Eukaryota; Metazoa; Chordata; Mammalia; Rodentia; Sciuridae. The record is from RNAcentral.
CAGCGUGCUUUGCAGGACAAAGAAUCUGGUGCUUUGGGCUCCGACAGUGGCGGCUCCCUAGUGUGGGGUGGCAGGAGCUGCAGCGGGAGUACUGGAGGCACAGCAGCUGCUCUCUGCCUUCCCAGCACCAAGGCCUUGGCGAGGCCCUCUAUCUGCUGCUGGUGAAGAGUGGGGGCGCCAAGAGCGCUGAGGAGUCCCAAUGUGAGAGUGAAGAUGGCAUGGAAGGUGAUGCUGUUCUCUCCGACUGUGAAAGUGCAGAAGACUCAGAAGCUGAAGAAGGGGAAUACAGCGAAGAAGAGAACUCCAAAGUGGAACUGAAAUCAGAAGGUAAUGAUGCUGCAAAUUCUUCAGCAAAAGAAGAGAAGGGAGAAGAAAAGCCUGACACCAAAGGCACCAUAUUGGAGAGACACAAAGUGGGGAUGGACAGGAGAGCACAGAGCCUGUGGAGAACAAAGUGGGUAAAAAGGGCCCUAAGCAUUUGGAUGAUAAUGAAGAUGGGAAGAAUCCAGCAUACACUUUGGAAAGGGCUCUUUUGUGAGCACUAUCUUUGAGGGCAAACUCAGGAGGAGGAAAUCAGACCCAAG